UACAGAGGGGGCAAGCGUUGUUCGGAAUUACUGGGCGUAAAGGGCGCGUAGGCGGCCUUCUUAGUCGAACGUGAAAUCCCCGGGCUCAACCCGGGAACUGCGUCCGAUACUGGAAGGCUCGAAUCCGGGAGAGGGAUGUGGAAUUCCAGGUGUAGCGGUGAAAUGCGUAGAUAUCUGGAGGAACACCGGUGGCGAAGGCGGCAUCCUGGACCAACACUGACACUGAGGAGCGAAAGCCAGGGGAGCAAACGGG
RNAcentral lists this ribosomal RNA (253 nucleotides) under uncultured bacterium. Its description in RNAcentral is "partial 16S ribosomal RNA". It matches the Rfam family "Bacterial small subunit ribosomal RNA", at positions 524 to 776 of the family's 1533-position model. The record is from RNAcentral.